RNAcentral lists this ribosomal RNA (537 nucleotides) under Clostridioides difficile. RNAcentral's name for it is "bacterial SSU rRNA". It matches the Rfam family "Bacterial small subunit ribosomal RNA", at positions 1 to 563 of the family's 1533-position model. The record is from RNAcentral. Lineage: Bacteria; Bacillati; Bacillota; Clostridia; Peptostreptococcales; Peptostreptococcaceae.
UUUUAUUUGAGAGUUUGAUCCUGGCUCAGGAUGAACGCUGGCGGCGUGCCUAACACAUGCAAGUUGAGCGAUUUACUUCGGUAAAGAGCGGCGGACGGGUGAGUAACGCGUGGGUAACCUACCCUGUACACACGGAUAACAUACCGAAAGGUAUGCUAAUACGGGAUAAUAUAUUUGAGAGGCAUCUCUUGAAUAUCAAAGGUGAGCCAGUACAGGAUGGACCCGCGUCUGAUUAGUUAGUUGGUAAGGUAACGGCUUACCAAGGCGACGAUCAGUAGCCGACCUGAGAGGGGGAUCGGCCACAUUGGAACUGAGACACGGUCCAAACUCCUACGGGAGGCAGCAGUGGGGAAUAUUGCACAAUGGGCGAAAGCCUGAUGCAGCAACGCCGCGUGAGUGAGGAAGGCCUUCGGGUCGUAAAACUCUGUCCUCAAGGAAGAUAAUGACGGUACUUGAGGAGGAAGCCCCGGCUAACUACGUGCCAGCAGCCGCGGUAAUACGUAGGGGGCUAGCGUUAUCCGGAUUUACUGGGCGUAA